AGAGUUUGAUCCUGGCUCAGGAUGAACGCUAGCGGGAGGCCUAACACAUGCAAGCCGAGCGGUAGAGAUCUUUCGGGAUCUUGAGAGCGGCGUACGGGUGCGGAACACGUGUGCAACCUGCCUUUAUCUGGGGGAUAGCCUUUCGAAAGGAAGAUUAAUACCCCAUAAUAUGUUGGAUGGCAUCAUUCGACAUUGAAAACUCCGGUGGAUAGAGAUGGGCACGCGCAAGAUUAGAUAGUUGGUGAGGUAACGGCUCACCAAGUCUGCGAUCUUUAGGGGGCCUGAGAGGGUGAUCCCCCACACUGGUACUGAGACACGGACCAGACUCCUACGGGAGGCAGCAGUGAGGAAUAUUGGACAAUGGGUGAGAGCCUGAUCCAGCCAUCCCGCGUGAAGGACGACGGCCCUAUGGGUUGUAAACUUCUUUUGUAUAGGGAUAAACCUACUCUCGUGAGAGUAGCUGAAGGUACUAUACGAAUAAGCACCGGCUAACUCCGUGCCAGCAGCCGCGGUAAUACGGAGGGUGCAAGCGUUAUCCGGAUUUAUUGGGUUUAAAGGGUCCGUAGGCGGAUCUGUAAGUCAGUGGUGAAAUCUCACAGCUUAACUGUGAGACUGCCAUUGAUACUGCAGGUCUUGAGUGUUGUUGAAGUAGCUGGAAUAAGUAGUGUAGCGGUGAAAUGCAUAGAUAUUACUUAGAACACCAAUUGCGAAGGCAGGUUACUAAGCACCACUGACGCUGAUGGACGAAAGCGUGGGGAGCGAACAGGAUUAGAUACCCU
Molecule: ribosomal RNA, 779 nt
Filed under: uncultured bacterium
Lineage: Bacteria
Description: bacterial SSU rRNA
Rfam family: Bacterial small subunit ribosomal RNA
Source: RNAcentral